CGGGGUCACCGGGGUACCGCUGCUCGCCAUGCGCGAGGGGAGGAAAGUCCGAACUCCACAGGACAGCAUGCUGGUUAACGACCAGGCGGGGCAACCCGACGGAAAGUGCAACAGAGAGUAGACCGCCUAAGGCAAUUGUUCCGCAAGGAAGAAUUGAACGGUGAGGGUGAAACGGUGCGGUAAGAGCGCACCAGUAUGGGUGGUGACAUCCGUAGCUCGGUAAACCCCAUGCGGAGCAAGAUCAAAUAGGGAAACGCGAUGUGGCUUGUCUGCAUCAAGAUGUGGUCCGCAUCUGGUUUCCGGGUAGAUCGCUUGAGGCUGGCGGUAACGGCAGUCCCAGAGGAAUGGUAUCCACCCUUCGGGGAACAAAAUUCGGCUUACAGGUGACCCCUCACC
RNAcentral lists this RNase P RNA (396 nucleotides) under Acidobacteriota bacterium. RNAcentral describes it as "Acidobacteria bacterium (activated sludge metagenome) RNase P RNA component class A". It matches the Rfam family "Bacterial RNase P class A". From Rfam's summary of the family: Ribonuclease P (RNase P) is a ubiquitous endoribonuclease, found in archaea, bacteria and eukarya as well as chloroplasts and mitochondria. Its best characterised activity is the generation of mature 5'-ends of tRNAs by cleaving the 5'-leader elements of precursor-tRNAs. The record is from RNAcentral. Lineage: Bacteria; Pseudomonadati; Acidobacteriota.